RNAcentral lists this long non-coding RNA (281 nucleotides) under Nicotiana benthamiana. RNAcentral describes it as "long non-coding RNA (NBEN_LNC003856)". The record is from RNAcentral. Lineage: Eukaryota; Viridiplantae; Streptophyta; Magnoliopsida; Solanales; Solanaceae.
GCGUAAAUAAUUAUCUAAACAUAAGAACCAUAAACAAAAUAGCAUACAAUAAUAUCAGACAGUAACUACCAUAAAUAACUACCAUAAGAGAGACACAAUCCAAUACACAAAUCAUAUAUGGAUAGCCCUGCCAAGCCUCACCCAACCCCGGAUGAGGAGCACGAAAAACUCUAGGGGCCCAUAUCCUACAACCCUGAUACUAGACCUCCAGACUUUCCUAUCAAGGGCCAUGUCCUCGGAAACCCGCAUUCUAGCCAUGUCAUGCCUAAUCACCUCUCCCC